RNAcentral lists this long non-coding RNA (296 nucleotides) under Sorghum bicolor (sorghum). RNAcentral describes it as "long non-coding RNA (SBIC_LNC018691)". The record is from RNAcentral. Lineage: Eukaryota; Viridiplantae; Streptophyta; Magnoliopsida; Poales; Poaceae.
GCAAAGCCUCAGGCUGCCUGGGGAGCCUAUUGGUUUGGCUGAUAAGCCAUGGCUGAAAGUACUGUUCGCUGAUUUGUUGUGAGAGAAAAACACUGCUGAAUGGCUGGUAGAUUUGGCAGAUUAGCCUCAAGCCUCAACCAAUAGCAAUAGGAAACCACUAGAAAAAUGCAGAGAUAUCUAAGGUUCAAAGGAUUUAAGUCUGCCUAGCACUAGAUAAGCCUGGGGGCAUAGUCCAUUUCUGGCUCCAAACUGGUUAUAAAGUGUAUCCAACUUUUAUUUAACUUGUUGGGCUUGCA